Molecule: long non-coding RNA, 1125 nt
Organism: Canis lupus familiaris (dog)
Lineage: Eukaryota; Metazoa; Chordata; Mammalia; Carnivora; Canidae
Exons: 3
Source: RefSeq, a predicted model, not a curated record
CUUCACAUGUGUCAGUAGAGAACCAUCCACGGUGGGCCCUCCAUGUACUCUUGCUGACAGAUGGAGGGAUCAGUAGGCCAAGUCCUCAGUUCCCAGGGCAUCAACAUUUCUACUCUUCCCGAGGCUUGAGACUUCCAGAUCCACUGGUUGGUGAUGAUGCCAAGUUCAAAGCCCACCUUGAGAUCAAAUUCCUGCAGUCUUCAAGUCAGUUUCCAGAAGAACAGAAGCUAGUGUUUGCACCAAGAAGUGAAGCAAAUGUCCCCCCAUGAAGGGACAGAAACAUUUGCUUCUGUCACUCAUCCAAGAUAAAUUCAAAUGUAAGGUCACUCUAGUGGGGCCAUGGAAGGAAAGGCUCUGGAUAACUAUUAUCUACUCUCGGUCUUACAAAUGCUCAUAAUGCGGUUUUAUUACUCAAGUAGAAGAAAAUCAAAUUCAUGAAGAUGAAGUAGAGGAGCAAGGUUCUUGUCUCAGGGAGUCGAAGAAUGAAUCUCGCAGCUGAAGGAGAGGGAGAAAAACGAAAGAGUUUUAUUAAGCAAGGGUAGAGAAGAAGCUCUCAGGAGAGAGCGUCAUGUAGUUUUGGAACAUAAGUGGUUUGGUGGGGUGAGGUCUGGAGCCGACAGCCAACAAAGAAUUCCUGAGACAUCUUUGGUGCAAAAUGGUGGUUUUAUUAAAGUAUGAGGACAGAAUCUGUGGGCAGGAAUGGCUGCUGCCCCAGGGUUGUGAGGGGUGGCUGAUACUUGGGAGUUGGGGGAGGUAAGGAAAAGGGAAGUUUUCAAGAUCUUUCUUUCUUUCUUUCUUUCUUUCUUUCUUUCUUUCUUUCUGUUGGGCUGGCUGAGAGACAGGGGCACCCAAAAUGGCAGACAUCUCAAAUUGGGUCAAAAUGGCUGAUCUUCCUGCCAAAGCAGCCAUGACCACCACGUCAUCUCCAGUAAAUCAAAGCCUAGAUGGGAAACCGAAUCUUUCCAUCCAGGACUUUCCAGCUAGGGACCACCUCCCCAUCAUCUGUACUAUCCCCACCCCCAGCCAAUCACCUAGGGAUACGGUGUUCCCUUGCCUAAUUUGGAUCCCCACCUGGAUCCAGACCCGGAACCAAUAGGCUUAAAUACUCCCACUCUUCCCAACCCC